Molecule: ribosomal RNA, 366 nt
Filed under: uncultured bacterium
Lineage: Bacteria
Description: bacterial SSU rRNA
Rfam family: Bacterial small subunit ribosomal RNA
Source: RNAcentral
GGUAGCCGGCCUGAGAGGGUGUCCGGCCACACUGGGACUGAGAUACGGCCCAGACUCCUACGGGAGGCAGCAGUGGGGAAUAUUGCACAAUGGGCGCAAGCCUGAUGCAGCGACGCCGCGUGGGGGAUGACGGCCUUCGGGUUGUAAACCUCUUUCAGUAGGGACGAAGCGCAAGUGACGGUACCUACAGAAGAAGGACCGGCCAACUACGUGCCAGCAGCCGCGGUAAUACGUAGGGUCCGAGCGUUGUCCGGAAUUACUGGGCGUAAAGAGCUCGUAGGUGGUUUGUCGCGUUGUUCGUGAAAUCUCACAACUCAAUUGUGAGCGUGCGAGCGAUACGGGCANACUGGAGUACUGCAGGGGAGA